CAGCAGCCGCGGUAAUACGUAGGUGGCAAGCGUUGUCCGGAAUUAUUGGGCGUAAAGCGCGCGCAGGCGGAUCGGUCAGUCUGUCUUAAAAGUUCGGGGCUUAACCCCGUGAUGGGAUGGAAACUGCCAAUCUAGAGUAUCGGAGAGGAAAGUGGAAUUCCUAGUGUAGCGGUGAAAUGCGUAGAUAUUAGGAAGAACACCAGUGGCGAAGGCGACUUUCUGGACGAAAACUGACGCUGAGGCGCGAAAGCCAGGGGAGCGAACGGGAUUAGAGACCCCUGUAGUCCCUGUCUCUUAUACC
This 301-nucleotide ribosomal RNA is filed under the name uncultured bacterium. RNAcentral's name for it is "partial 16S ribosomal RNA". It matches the Rfam family "Bacterial small subunit ribosomal RNA", at positions 509 to 808 of the family's 1533-position model. The record is from RNAcentral.